GACGAACGCUGGCGGCGUGCUUAACACAUGCAAGUCGAACGGUGAAGCGCCUUCCUUUUUGGUGGGUGUGGAUGAGUGGCGAACGGGUGAGUAACACGUGAGUAACCUGCCCCCUUCUUCUGGAUAACCGCAUGAAAGUGUGGCUAAUACGGGAUAUUCUGGGUCUGUCGCAUGAUGGGUCUGGGAAAGAUAUUGUUUCGGUGGGGGAUGGGCUCGCGGCCUAUCAGCUUGUUGGUGGGGUGAUGGCCUACCAAGGCGGUGACGGGUAGCCGGCCUGAGAGGGUGGACGGUCACACUGGGACUGAGACACGGCCCAGACUCCUACGGGGGGCAGCAGUGGGGAAUAUUGCACAAUGGGCGCAAGCCUGAUGCAGCGACGCCGCGUGAGGGAUGGAGGCCUUCGGGUUGUGAACCUCUUUCGCCAGUGAAGCAGGCCUGCCUCGUUUGUGGGUGGGUUGACGGUAGCUGGAUAAGAAGCGCCGGCUAACUACGUG
Molecule: ribosomal RNA, 494 nt
Filed under: uncultured bacterium
Lineage: Bacteria
Description: partial 16S ribosomal RNA
Rfam family: Bacterial small subunit ribosomal RNA
Source: RNAcentral